GAGAGAGAGAGAGAGAGAUGUAACAGCCACAUAUAAAUAAGCAACAGCAUUAAAAAAUCACAUGCUUAUAAACAAUUAUUUGUACCAAGCAACAACAUAUCCUUUUAACCAUUCUAUAUAAUGCAGUGGAAAGAAUAAACUAAAACACAAUCCAAACGUUAUUUCCCAAUGUUUGGAUUGUGUUUUAGUUUAUUCUUUCCACUGCAUUAUAUAGAAUGGUUAAAAGGAUAUGUUGUUGCUUGGUACAAAUAAUUGUUUAUAAGCAUGUGAUUUUUUAAUGCUGUUGCUUAUUUAUAUGUGGCUGUUACAUCUCUCUCUCUCUCUCUC
This 327-nucleotide unclassified non-coding RNA is filed under the name Hevea brasiliensis (rubber tree). The record is from RNAcentral. Lineage: Eukaryota; Viridiplantae; Streptophyta; Magnoliopsida; Malpighiales; Euphorbiaceae.